RNAcentral lists this ribosomal RNA (255 nucleotides) under uncultured bacterium. RNAcentral's name for it is "partial 16S ribosomal RNA". It matches the Rfam family "Bacterial small subunit ribosomal RNA", at positions 524 to 776 of the family's 1533-position model. The record is from RNAcentral.
UACAGAGGGUGCGAGCGUUGUCCGGAAUCACUGGGCGUAAAGGGCGCGUAGGCGGCCUGAUAAGUAGGGGGGUGAAAUCUUGCGGCUCAACCGCAAGGCUGCCUUCUAAACUGUCAGGCUGGAGCACGGUAGAGGCAGAUGGAAUUCCCGGUGUAGCGGUGGAAUGCGUAGAGAUCGGGAAGAACACCAGUGGCGAAGGCGGUCUGCUGGGCCGUUGCUGACGCUGAGGCGCGACAGCGUGGGGGAGCAAACAGG